RNAcentral lists this ribosomal RNA (403 nucleotides) under Triticum aestivum (bread wheat). RNAcentral's name for it is "partial small subunit ribosomal RNA". The record is from RNAcentral. Lineage: Eukaryota; Viridiplantae; Streptophyta; Magnoliopsida; Poales; Poaceae.
AUCAAAUCCAAGGACUCGGCCCAUCCGCGAGCCUCGCCUACCGUCUCGGCUAGCUGGGCCUGAGUGGGCUUUAGGCCGCAUAGAUAUAUAAUCAAGUGUGUUCUCUGUAUUCGGGGGCAGAUAGGAAAACGGCAGGACAGGGAGGCCAGUUGUGGCGUGGGUGGCGUGUGUGCGUCUUCCUCCUCCUGAUCCCCUCUUUCUCUCAAACCAGAUGUAGCUCGAAUUCAUGUUCAUGGAGUAAAUUCGAAGACUAGUCCUAACAAUCUGCCUCCAAAAUCCACUAUAUAUAUGCCCCCUUCGAGCUAAAUAACCCUUCAUCCAAACAAGCCAAGGCAAGCUACUAGCCAGUACUUGGAGAAACCAACAAUGGCGCCGCUCGCAGCCCGGAGCCGGAGGCCAGCCU